This 89-nucleotide transfer RNA is filed under the name Aquilaria sinensis. RNAcentral describes it as "tRNA-Ile". It matches the Rfam family "tRNA". From Rfam's summary of the family: Transfer RNA (tRNA) molecules are approximately 80 nucleotides in length. Their secondary structure includes four short double-helical elements and three loops (D, anti-codon, and T loops). Lineage: Eukaryota; Viridiplantae; Streptophyta; Magnoliopsida; Malvales; Thymelaeaceae. The record is from RNAcentral.
GCAUCCAUGGCUGAAUGGUUAAAGCGCCCAACCUAUACCAACCGGGAGAAAAGGGCAAAUAUUCGUAGGUUCGAUUCCUGCUGGAUGCA